Molecule: small nucleolar RNA, 85 nt
Filed under: Oryza sativa (Asian cultivated rice)
Lineage: Eukaryota; Viridiplantae; Streptophyta; Magnoliopsida; Poales; Poaceae
Description: Z275 small nucleolar RNA
Source: RNAcentral
AGCAGCAGCCAUGGUGAGCUCGCCGCCGCCCGCCGACCCUGUUCGUUCCGUAGGAUUUGUCUUCCCGCUCGCUGACGCUGCUGUU